This 1311-nucleotide ribosomal RNA is filed under the name Streptomyces sp. JRG-9. RNAcentral describes it as "bacterial SSU rRNA". It matches the Rfam family "Bacterial small subunit ribosomal RNA", at positions 82 to 1397 of the family's 1533-position model. The record is from RNAcentral. Lineage: Bacteria; Bacillati; Actinomycetota; Actinomycetes; Kitasatosporales; Streptomycetaceae.
UCGGUGGGGAUUAAUGGCGAACGGGUGAGUAACAUUGUGGGCAAUCUGCCCUGCACUCUGGGACAAGCCCUGGAAACGGGGUCUAAUACCGGAUACUGACCCUCACGGGCAUCUGUGAGGUUCGAAAGCUCCGGCGGUGCAGGAUGAGCCCGCGGCCUAUCAGCUUGUUGGUGAGGUAAUGGCUCACCAAGGCGACAACCGGUAGCCGGCCUGAGAGGGCGACCGGCCACACUGGGACUGAGACACGGCCCAGACUCCUACGGGAGGCAGCAGUGGGGAAUAUUGCACAAUGGGCGAAAGCCUGAUGCAGCGACCCCCCGUGAGGGAUGACGGCCUUCGGGUUGUAAACCUCUUUCAGCAGGGAAGAAGCGAAAGUGACGGUACCUGCAGAAGAAGCGCCGGCUAACUACGUGCCAGCAGCCGCGGUAAUACGUAGGGCGCGAGCGUUGUCCGGAAUUAUUGGGCGUAAAGAGCUCGUAGGCGGCUUGUCACGUCGGUUGUGAAAGCCCGGGGCUUAACCCCGGGUCUGCAGUCGAUACGGGCAGGCUAGAGUUCGGUAGGGGAGAUCGGAAUUCCUGGUGUAGCGGUGAAAUGCGCAGAUAUCAGGAGGAACACCGGUGGCGAAGGCGGAUCUCUGGGCCGAUACUGACGCUGAGGAGCGAAAGCGUGGGGAGCGAACAGGAUUAGAUACCCUGGUAGUCCACGCCGUAAACGGUGGGCACUAGGUGUGGGGCAACAUUCCACGUUGUCCGUGCCGCAGCUAACGCAUUAAGUGCCCCGCCUGGGGAGUACGGCCGCAAGGCUAAAACUCAAAGGAAUUGACGGGGGCCCGCACAAGCGGCGGAGCAUGUGGCUUAAUUCGACGCAACGCGAAGAACCUUACCAAGGCUUGACAUACACCGGAAACCUCCAGAGAUAGGGCCCCCCUUGUGGUCGGUGUACAGGUGGUGCAUGACGGUCGUCAGCUCGUGUCGUGAGAUGUUGGGUUAAGUCCCGCAACGAGCGCAACCCUUGUCCCGUGUUGCCAGCAGGCCCUUGUGGUGGUGGGGACUCACGGGAGACCGCCGGGGUCAACUCGGAGGAAGGUGGGGACGACGUCAAGUCAUCAUGCCCCUUAUGUCUUGGGCUGCACACGUGCUACAAUGGCCGGUACAAUGAGCUGCGAUACCGCGAGGUGGAGCGAAUCUCAAAAAGCCGGUCUCAGUUCGGAUUGGGGUCUGCAACUCGACCCCAUGAAGUAGGAGUCGCUAGUAAUCGCAGAUCAGCAUUGUUGCGGUGAAUACGUUCCCGGGCCUUGUACACACCCCCCGU